AUAUCUCUCCGUACGGGAAGGAUGAGAAGCUUCGACUAAGGUUCGAUUCGAGCGCAGCGAGAACGCGUUGCCGCAGGCAACGACCCGAAGGGCGA
RNAcentral lists this small RNA (95 nucleotides) under Salmonella enterica subsp. enterica serovar Heidelberg. RNAcentral describes it as "partial RtT sRNA". It matches the Rfam family "RtT RNA", at positions 1 to 94 of the family's 130-position model. Rfam says of the family: This family represents a bacterial cis-regulatory element known as RtT RNA. The record is from RNAcentral. RNAcentral also lists the same sequence under 6 other names. Lineage: Bacteria; Pseudomonadati; Pseudomonadota; Gammaproteobacteria; Enterobacterales; Enterobacteriaceae.